ACGAACGCUUGCCGCGUGCUUAACCCAUGCACGUCGCACGGAAAGGCCCCGCUUUUGUGGGGUGCCCGAGUGGCGAACGGGUGAGUAACACGUGAGUAACCUGCCCCUGACUUUGGGAUAACUUCAGGAAACCGGGGCUAAUACCGGAUAGGAGCUCCUGCUGCAUGGUGGGGGGUGGAAAGUUUCGGCGGUUGGGGAUGGACUCGCGGCUAAUCAGCUUGUUGGUGGGGUAGUGGCUUACCAAGGCUUUGACGGGUAGCCGGCCUGAGAGGGUGACCGGCCACAUUGGGACUGAGAUACGGCCCAGACUCCUACGGGAGGCAGCAGUGGGGAAUAUUGCACAAUGGGCGGAAGCCUGAUGCAGCAACGCCGCGUGCGGGAUGACGGCCUUCGGGUUGUAAACCGCUUUCGCCUGUGACGAAGCGUGAGUGACGGUAAUGGGUAAAGAAGCACCGGCUAACUACGUG
This 467-nucleotide ribosomal RNA is filed under the name uncultured bacterium. RNAcentral's name for it is "partial 16S ribosomal RNA". It matches the Rfam family "Bacterial small subunit ribosomal RNA", at positions 29 to 507 of the family's 1533-position model. The record is from RNAcentral.